GACGCGACCGGGCGGGGCGCCUGGGCCUGCGGCUUGGGCGCGGCCGCGGCAGCCGCGGCGGCCGCACGGCGGGCGUUCUCCUCUUCCUCGCGCCUC
Molecule: transfer RNA, 96 nt
Filed under: Lentzea cavernae
Lineage: Bacteria; Bacillati; Actinomycetota; Actinomycetes; Pseudonocardiales; Pseudonocardiaceae
Description: tRNA-Ala
Source: RNAcentral